GGCCACCUUCGGGGGGCUUCACCAUAGGCAGAGUAAUACUUUGUCGUACAAGCAAACGGAAGACAGAAA
Molecule: non-coding RNA, 69 nt
Submitted as: unclassified sequences
Source: Rfam